AUGCUGACAUGAGUAGCGAUAAAGAGGGUGAGAGACCCUCUCGCCGAAAGACCAAGGGUUCCUGCGUAAAGCUAAUCUGCGCAGGGUUAGUCGGCCCCUAAGGCGAGGCCGAAAGGCGUAGUCGAUGGGAAUCUGGUUAAUAUUCCAGAACCUCUCGGGAGAUGACGGAUGGUAGACGUAGUUUGACCUUAUUGGAUUGGUCGGGCUGCCACGCUGUCCCUGGAAAUAGCCCCGAGAUUAGACCGUACCCGAAACCGACACAGGUGGGCAGGUAGAGAAUACCAAGGCGCUUGAGAGAAGUAUCCUGAAGGAACUCGGCAAAUUACCUCCGUAACUUCGGGAGAAGGAGGCCCUGCCAGAAGGCAACUUUUGGCAGGGGGCACAAGCUGGGGGGUAGCGACUGUUUAGCAAAAACACAGGACUCUGCUAAGUCGGCUUUAAGACGACGUAUAGGGUCUGACGCCUGCCCGGUGC
This 474-nucleotide ribosomal RNA is filed under the name Kryptoperidinium foliaceum. RNAcentral describes it as "partial Bacterial large subunit ribosomal RNA". It matches the Rfam family "Bacterial large subunit ribosomal RNA", at positions 1294 to 1869 of the family's 2925-position model. Lineage: Eukaryota; Dinophyceae; Peridiniales; Kryptoperidiniaceae. The record is from RNAcentral.